Molecule: non-coding RNA, 1433 nt
Organism: Phascolarctos cinereus (koala)
Lineage: Eukaryota; Metazoa; Chordata; Mammalia; Diprotodontia; Phascolarctidae
Source: RefSeq, a predicted model, not a curated record
AAUUGAGAAUCUGAUGGGUGUCAAUAAAUUGGGGACUGGAUGAACAAGUUAUGGUGUACAAAUGUGACAGAAUACUAUUGCGCUGAACUCUUACCAUCAUAACGACCAAUCAGAAUUCCAGGCAACUAAUGAAGAAACACACUACUCACCUCCUGAGAGACACAAGAGAUGGCUCUGCCUCUGCCUGAAGACCUCCCGUGACAACAAAGCCGCUCUUUCAUGAAGCCACGGGAACUGCUGGCACUGCUGGAGAGCUGUCGAUGUCAGGAGGCUUCUCCUGAGGCACCAAGACAGGCACCAAGGACCACAGUGGUGAGAUCUUUCUUGGACCUGUGGCUGCUAAGAAGGCACAAGUUGCAGUCCCUAUAGACAAGAUGGGAAGAUCACCUCUCUCUGAGAUUUGUUCCUUUGGAGGACAGCCAUAGGACAGGCUGGAAGCAGGACUAGUGGUCCAGUGAAUAUUAAAAGAACAUAUGGAAGACCUCGAGGGGGCUGGGUGGCUCCUUUGUAGUGGGUUUUUGCCAAGACACGAACAAGCAUCAAUCAAAUAAAAAUCAUGGAGUGGUUGUAAUCUGUAUGCACAGCUAUGAAUCAUCCACUGAGGUGUACUGUGGGCAAUUAAAAUAUGCAUGCAUAUAGUCAGAAUAAACAUUAACUCCUUGGAAAAUGUAGUUAUUGCCUAGGCAGUAUGGUGCACUGAGAUGAGUACAGGACAAGAAGAAGACAGGAGGCCUGAAUCCUCAUCUUGGUUCUGUCCUGAAUCUCUGUGAGACACUUAGCCAAUUAUUCUCCCCUCUUUGGACCUUAGUUUUCUGGUCUGUAAAAUGAAGGGGUUGGACUUGAUUGUCGAUAAGGUCCUAACAAGCAUUGGUAUUCAAAAUGCCAAGUUUGACUUUACUCUUAGUUCUGAGGAUGAACUAAUAACAAGGAAAUAUAGCCAAGCACCUUUUUCUCUAGCAUAGAAGUAAAUGACUUUCUGAGGAUAUUCUCUGCUAAUUACAUCCUCCCAAGGAGUCUGGAGGACUUUUAUAAGAAGUGAAUGUUGGGGUCAAUGACAUGUAUUUCAAACUCCCUGGCAAAAUGACUCCCAGCCUAAUAGGUCAGCUCAUAAGAUGUAGAACUGGUAGAAACAGUUUAGUGCAACAGAAAAGGCAGCCCCAAGGUGACAUCUUCCUUGGCAAGGAUGUGCAGCCGCUGGGUCCUUUUCCACUAUAGGGCCAAGGAACCUGAACACCUCCUUAGCUCAAAAGCUGGAAGCAUCUUCUAAAGUUUGUUCUGCAACCUGGUGAGGCAGGACUAUGUUAACAGCAUGGAUGAGGAAGAAAUUUGAAUGGGUGUUAGUCAAUGAAUUCAGAAUCUUCUAGAUAUUGCAAGACAAUGCUUUUUCUUGCAGAAAAGAUUACAACUGUCUGUUUAGAAGCCAGAGCAAGUUA